This 301-nucleotide ribosomal RNA is filed under the name uncultured bacterium. Its description in RNAcentral is "partial 16S ribosomal RNA". It matches the Rfam family "Bacterial small subunit ribosomal RNA", at positions 509 to 807 of the family's 1533-position model. The record is from RNAcentral.
CAGCAGCCACGGUAAUACGUAGGGUGCAAGCGUUAAUCGGAAUUACUGGGCGUAAAGCGUGCGCAGGCGGUUAUAUAAGUCAGAUGUGAAAUCCCCGGGCUCAACCUGGGAACUGCAUUUGAGACUGUAUGGCUAGAGUGUGUCAGAGGGGGGUAGAAUUCCACGUGUAGCAGUGAAAUGCGUAGAUAUGUGGAGGAAUACCGAUGGCGAAGGCAGCCCCCUGGGAUAACACUGACGCUCAUGCACGAAAGCGUGGGGAGCAAACAGGAUUAGAUACCCCCGUAGUCCCUGUCUCUUAUAC